This 67-nucleotide transfer RNA is filed under the name Syndesmis kurakaikina. Its description in RNAcentral is "tRNA-Thr". Lineage: Eukaryota; Metazoa; Platyhelminthes; Rhabdocoela; Umagillidae. The record is from RNAcentral.
UUUUAAAUAGUUUUAAAAAAAAAUAUAAGUUUUGUAAACUUAAGAUGUAUAUUAAUUACUUUAAGAA